Molecule: long non-coding RNA, 468 nt
Organism: Lampris incognitus (smalleye Pacific opah)
Lineage: Eukaryota; Metazoa; Chordata; Actinopteri; Lampriformes; Lampridae
Exons: 4
Source: RefSeq, a predicted model, not a curated record
CUGAGCAACACGCUAACUUUGGUCGUCUCUCUAUCGAUCCACAGCCAAUUGUCCCGACGAGCGUCGUCAUGCUGAGGAUUUCUUUCCAUGAACUUCAGCUUUACACAGCAGUUUUAAACUCUUUAUGUAUUGGCUACCCAGUGCUUCCUAGCCUGUGUAAUCCUUGCUGCUGGACCAGAAUUUCCCUAGGUCUGGUGCCGGUAACAAUUGGGGGCUCUUCCGGGAUUAUCUAGCGUCACUGCCUGGUGGAGUGGGUGCGAAGAUGACAUUAACCUGUGUCCAAAGCUUCAGGAGGAAACCUGAGCCCCCGGAGGAAACCCACGCAGACACGGGGAGAACAUGCAAACGCCACACAGAGGACGACCUGGGAUGACCCAUCAAGCUUGGACUACCCGGGGGCUCGAACCCAGGACCUUCUUGCUGUGAGGCGACCGUGCUAAGCUGAGUUUAAUGUGUACCAAAAAUAAA